This 322-nucleotide transfer-messenger RNA is filed under the name Licmophora sp. RNAcentral describes it as "SsrA". It matches the Rfam family "transfer-messenger RNA". From Rfam's summary of the family: Bacterial tmRNA, also known as 10Sa RNA or SsrA, is named for its dual tRNA and mRNA-like properties. The record is from RNAcentral. Lineage: Eukaryota; Bacillariophyta; Fragilariophyceae; Licmophorales; Licmophoraceae.
UGGUUUCGACAUUUAAAAAAAAGGGUAAUGUGAUGCAGGUCGAAGCUUGUAUUCUUCGUAAAAAUCUACAAUUUAAUGAAUAAAUGCUAAUAAUAUUAUUCCGUUUAAGUUCAAACAGUUAAAAUUAAAUAAUAUAAGUUCAAGCACUCAAGUUAAUUUUGCUCUUGCUUAAAAUUUUUAUUACUUAUAUUUAAAAUUUGUUCGCUAUUACUUCUUAGUCUUAGUUUAGAAUUUUUUUUAUUGUUCAAUCAAUGAACUAAAUCUGUGAAUGAGCGUUUUUCUUAGUUUUAGAUGGACAUGGGUUCAAAUCCCAUCAGCUCCA